GGAUGGCUCAGUUGGUAGAGCACGAGACUCUAAAUUUCAGGGCCAUGUUAGUAAAACAAUUCUUUGAAGAGAUUCUAACUGGAGGGCCA
Non-coding RNA from Podarcis lilfordi (Lilford's wall lizard), 89 nucleotides. The record is from the annotation of a GenBank genome assembly. Lineage: Eukaryota; Metazoa; Chordata; Lepidosauria; Squamata; Lacertidae.